RNAcentral lists this ribosomal RNA (478 nucleotides) under uncultured Pelotomaculum sp. RNAcentral's name for it is "bacterial SSU rRNA". It matches the Rfam family "Bacterial small subunit ribosomal RNA", at positions 903 to 1382 of the family's 1533-position model. The record is from RNAcentral. Lineage: Bacteria; Bacillati; Bacillota; Clostridia; Eubacteriales; Desulfotomaculaceae.
AAAGGAAUUGACGGGGCCGCACAAGCGGUGGAGCAUGUGGUUAAUUCGACGCAACGCGAAGAACCUUACCAGGGCUUGACAUCCCCUGACCGCGUAUGAAAGUACGUUUUCACCCUCGGGUGACAGGGAGACAGGUGGUGCAUGGUUGUCGUCAGCUCGUGUCGUGAGAUGUUGGGUUAAGUCCCGCAACGAGCGCAACCCCUACGUUUAGUUGCUAACAGGUGAAGCUGAGCACUCUAGACGAACUGCCGUUGACAAAACGGAGGAAGUGGGGAUGACGUCAAAUCAUCAUGCCCCUUAUGUUCUGGGCUACACACGUGCUACAAUGGCCGGUACAGACGGACGCAAAGCCGCGAGGUGGAGCAAAUCCUAAAAAGCCGGUCUCAGUUCGGAUUGCAGGCUGCAAUUCGCCUGCAUGAAGUCGGAAUCGCUAGUAAUCGCAGGUCAGCAUACUGCGGUGAAUACGUUCCCGGGCCUU